AUACGGAGGAUCCGAGCGUUAUCCGGAUUUAUUGGGUUUAAAGGGUGCGUAGGCGGCUUUUUAAGUCAGGGGUGAAAGACGGCAGCUCAACUGUCGCAGUGCCUUUGAUACUGAAGAGCUUGAAUGUGGCUGAAGAUGGCGGAAUGAGACAAGUAGCGGUGAAAUGCAUAGAUAUGUCUCAGAACUCCGAUUGCGAAGGCAGCUAUCUAAACCAUUAUUGACGCUGAUGCACGAAAGCGUGGGGAUCGAACAGGAUUAGAUACCCUGGUAGUCCACGCCCUAAACGAUGAUAACUCGAUGUUAGCGAUAUACCGUUAGCGUCCAAGCGAAAGCGUUAAGUUAUCCACCUGGGGAGUACGCCCGCAAGGGUGAA
RNAcentral lists this ribosomal RNA (373 nucleotides) under uncultured bacterium. RNAcentral's name for it is "bacterial SSU rRNA". It matches the Rfam family "Bacterial small subunit ribosomal RNA", at positions 523 to 898 of the family's 1533-position model. The record is from RNAcentral.